RNAcentral lists this ribosomal RNA (346 nucleotides) under uncultured Desulfobulbus sp. Its description in RNAcentral is "bacterial SSU rRNA". It matches the Rfam family "Bacterial small subunit ribosomal RNA", at positions 1035 to 1382 of the family's 1533-position model. Lineage: Bacteria; Pseudomonadati; Thermodesulfobacteriota; Desulfobulbia; Desulfobulbales; Desulfobulbaceae. The record is from RNAcentral.
CAGGUGCUGCAUGGCUGUCGUCAGCUCGUGUCGUGAGAUGUUGGUUAAGUCCGCAACGAGCGCAACCCUUGCCUUUAGUUGCCAGCAGUUCGGCUGGGCACUCUAAAGGGACUGCCGGUGUUAAACCGGAGGAAGGUGGGGAUGACGUCAAGUCCUCAUGGCCUUUAUGACCAGGGCUACACACGUACUACAAUGGCCGAUACAAAGGGCAGCGACACUGCGAGGUGAAGCCAAUCCCGUAAAAUACGGUCUCAGUCCGGAUUGGAGUCUGCAACUCGACUCCAUGAAGUUGGAAUCGCUAGUAAUCGUGGAUCAGCAUGCCACGGUGAAUACGUUCCCGGGCCUU